GGCAGAGCGUUGGGAUGUUUUCACAGCACAUUAUGUUUGAGUACACAUCAAACAUGCCACGCGCCACUCUUUGAUUGUCUCUGGUGAAGCUGUUUCCUGACAGGUGUUCGACGAGCUCCCUGGGUAGAAAGACAAACGUGCUGUAAAUAUACACACAUAGUGACAGAACACGCACUUGGCAAACACAGAGAUGACAGAGGCCUCCCUGAUGAUGUUUACGUUGAGGUGAAGUUUGUGAAGGCUACACAAUUGAUAUGCCAGUUAUACCAUAAUCUGAUAAUUGUAGAAAUAUAAAGCGUCACGUUUUAAGCGGGCACACUUGUUAGCGUUUGCAUUUCCCUGAGGUGGAGCUUAAAACCCUGCAGCUUUCAGGAAAAACACUGGCUGUAUAUUGGAUAAGUAACGCUUCAUUCUUUUAGCCAGCUGUACUGCUUUACUACAUCAACAAUAGGAGCCAGAACCUGUUUAACAUUGAUUCAAAGAGGGCACGUUUACACUAAACAGACACCACACAGAACAAACAGAGCAGACCACAUGUACUGAGUAUUUUCACAGUGUCUGUUAUUACUCCAUUUAAUAAAUCUCUUCUCUCUGCGCCUGUUUCCAUUCCCUCAUCAUCCCAGACCACAGUGAAGUAGAUAUUAGUCAAUCCUCUAAUUAACAGUAAAACCACAGUCUAGUGGUCACAUGUGUAAUUUCUCCAUAGGACACGUUCUCCACCCCCUGUGCUCUGUGUGUGCAGGCUAUGGGCUUUAAUCGCAUUGCCCCUUACGCUAGAAUAACUGUGAGUACUUUCUUGGCAAAGGCGUCCACAGCUGAGGGGUUACUGCAUGGUCGAUCCUCCGGCGAGGUUCUUUCCAUUCUGAUUCAAUCAAUCUUUAUUCCAUCCUCUGCCAAAAUCAAUUGCACUCCGCUUGGGACGCCUGGUUAAAAUGUGGGGAGGCACAGAGUCAGGCUGGGGACUCCAUGCUACAGCUUUAUCCCCACACUCAGAGGGUUCCCUCCCUCUGAAGACGGAGUAAUGUAGAGGACCGGUUUUAACUUCUGUUGAGAAACCCACACCUGGUGUUUUUUGUGAUAUCACAGCUGGGCUUUACCUAAUUCAGAGAUGGGUUUGCUUUCAUUUAGUACAUCAACAACGUGCUCAUCAUAUACAAUCAAAAUUAGUCUAGAGAAAUAUCGGCCUGAGAGUUUGAAAAAUUGGAAGUGUGCUUAUUCUGAUCUACUCUUCAUGCACAGUGAACAAAACCUGCAAGAGGCUCAAAUACAGUAAAAUUGAGAAUGUAACAUGUUAAUAUGUCACUAAGUGUUGUCAUGCCAUCCUAGACCUGUGAUUAAAUGAACUGAUAUUGCUUCUAGACCAAAGUUUACAUUAGAUUAUUAUAAAUUACGGAUUCUCCUGCAGCUUUUUCAUCAGAUGUGUAGAGGCAUGUCAGAUUUCUUGUGUCAGGAAAAGGAAAAAAAAGAAGUUUACAGUCUCACUUCUCCAUAAGAGUGUGACAGCUCAAGAAAUAAGAUGCAUCGCGGAAUUAACAACCAAAGACCAGCGGACAUUAAUUGCUAUCAACAGAGAAGGAUUCAGAAGGUUAGUAAACACACUGGAGCCAAAGUUUCAAUUCUUACUGUGGCCAUAUUCACAGCUCUUUUCAAAGACACAAAAACUAAAGUUUCACGAAAAACCUCAAACAGGCAGCGUGGACUUUAUUUGCUAUAGAAAAAAGGACUUCACAAGCUCCCCAGAGUCAAGGUAAUGCCAUUAUAAUUAAGUCUUUAUUUAUCUAUGACCUUUCUAAUGUUGUGAGAACUGCCCUGCCAUGGAUUUACCCAGACAUUUCCAGAUUGUGAGAUGUUGAUGUUUUUAAUAUUAUUUUUUAAACUAUUCCUGACAUAAAUCUUAAAGCUGUUGAUUUUAACAGUACACAGUAUUUUGCUGUAAUUAGUGAAUCCCGUUUUUUUUUACCUCUCCUGCUGUGGGGCUGUUUUUUCUUAUGUGUGUUUGUUUUUAUUCACCCUGUUAUCAAUGUGCAUGUCUUGUUAACUGUCUGAAAAUACUGUAAUAAAAAUUUGAUUAAAAAAAUUAAAAAGCUGUUAUUGGCUUUGGUUGCUCAUAAAAAGUGCAUCACUUUGAAUUUCAGUCUAUUUUAUUGCUAGCUAGAAAUCUCCUCACAGGAGCUUUAAAGUGAAGUGAACUCAGCCAUAACAGCAUAAAGGCACUUUAGAAGAAAGAAGCAGAUGCAUGUUUUUUUUUUUCUGUUGUCUUUUUCUAUUUCCUCGCUUCAGUUCUUUCUUCCUACCCUUCACCGUGCAGUGUCCUUUUGGUAACGUUGUAGUCUACGCCCCUUCCUGCCUGCUGUGGACACACAGGCCUCUUCAUCCCGGUCCACUGCUGCGGUCAGGCACCUGGCAGCUGGAUAAAUAUGAGGCUGACUUAAUGAGUUCUGUAAGUGAGCUGGAAGUGGCUGGUAUUCAUGCUCCAAUACUCAGGGUUAUGAGAUAACCAUGCAGCCGCAGGGCCUCCACCACAGGCUGCCACUCUGAGCCUGAAACCACGCUGAAACUACAGGCAAAGGCCUGGGUAAAGACUAACCGGCUGCUCAGACAACCAGGAAUGAUUGGUUUGCCUUGUUGAUUCACCUUAUGGAUUCAACCUUCAUCCAUAUUAUUCCAUUACACACUGCGGUUUGUGUGUAAUUGAAAUAAAUCUAUUUAAACUGGAGGGAAACAAUAAAAAAAGAUUCUAAAUUUCUAAAUCUGUUAUUCAUAAUCAGCAGAUCCUGAUUUGUAGAAAUAAAAUCUGAAUAUACUUAAAGCCACCCACAUGUCUUAUCUGUAAUAAGGGUUGCCGUAAAGCAGCCAAAAACAACGUGUGCCUGUGUGGGGACAUGACAACCCCAAACCCAAAAUAUUAUCCACAACUGUUUACUUGUGAAAUUAAAUUUCCUUGCUUUUUUGUGUGUUUACAGCAUGUCUGUCCAUCUUUGACAGCUGAUGAAGUGAUGGGAGGAGGGAGAAGUCUCUUUGAGGCAAAGUAAUGACUGCCCCUGAUUUAGCUGCUUUGCAGCAACCAUCCCAUAUGGGAGAGGAGGGCAGAAAGAAGAGGCAAUUGGCCAACGUCCAACACAAACACAGCCUUGAAUCCUUAGCACGGCGCUUUCUGCCAAAACACUGGUUCUGUGUGAAGGCAGAAAAAAGUGGGAUAGGAAGGGAAGAGGAGAGGAGACUUGAUUAGGAAACCUUAAUGGGACUACCCUGUCACAUCGCAUGGGUGUCUGGGCCAGAGUCCAAAGCAUUACUGACACUGCACUAAAGGAACAGAGAGAAGGUGAGGAUCAUACAGCUGCCGCACUAAGAGACUUCCCAAAACUCAAUUUCUCACUUGCCCUCCCUGAAUAAUACAAUUAGAUUGAGGCAAUUAGUCUUUAAAAUAAACUGCAGGUGAGACGGCACUUAACUGUACAAUACACCUUUUACUAUGAUGGUGUGUGGUGCCAAUAGGGGGGGCUGAAUGAAAUCAAACAUGUUUUUGUAUCAGCCAGUUAUCAGAUACUCCGGUUGGAGGCUUUCUUUAAGUAUUUCUGCUCCUUACACUUCAAAAAAAGACUGUGUGGGCUGAAAAACAAAGAGGUAUGGUACAAUAUGAAAAGAGGAAUUUUAACCACUUGAAAUAUAAUCACAGUGCCACACGCUCAAACAAUUACACAACUAUUUGAUGUGAGGGCAUGUAGAUGGCUAAUUUGCCCUCUCUGAUUUUCCCUUUCCUGAGUCUGGCUCUAAAUGCUGAAUUCUGAGCUCCAGCGAUCAGAUGAAAUGCAUGAGGUGCCCAGGCGGCCCGGUGCAGGUUCACUGACAGCUGGGAAUGAUGAAGGCUGAGGUGUGGCCUCACAGAGCCGAGCCCUGACACACAAGCUUCAAAAACCAAACAGCUCAAAAGAGACACUGUGUUUUUCUGUUCUGGACAGGACAGGCAUGAAACGUAACACAUUUUCACAAUUCAUGAAAGAGGUAUUGUUCAAAGGUGGACUGUUUGGAGGAACACCGCUUUUAGCUUGCAAUGGCAGCUCACCCUGAAAGCAAGCUGUGAGACACAAGACAAACAAAGUGAAAUGAAAAAGGGGGAGGAGAGCGUAAAUCAGACUAUGGUAAUUGCUCAUUCGUAACCCAAAGCCUGGCUCCCCUGGUGAGCGCACUGGCGAGAGUGAUGGGGUGUGCUAGCCGGGGCCCCCUGUGAUUGGGUGCUCUGUGCCGGUACACCCUCACUCAGCUCCCAUGUAAGGUUUGCUUGAUUUGAAGAGUGACCUUGAGUGAGACAGCGCUCCUUUUUCGUCCCCGUUCUCCUCCCUAAAAACAUCUUUUCCCCUCCUCUGUCUAGGGAAUGGAAGCUUUGCCAAGCCACCAUCAGCAUAAGGGCUUCAGAGGAAUUACAAGCUGCCCAGAGCAGGGCUGUCUCAAUGAAUGAGGCCAGUGUCCUCACUCUUUCAGUGUCCUAAUGCCUCACAAUCCUCUGUGAUCCCACCCCAGCUCUGUGAUUCACAUCGAGCAGCAGGUAAACAUGGAAAAAACAUCAUUACAAUGUCUCUCAAGGAUGCUUUUUUUAAAGUAUCAUAUGAAAGUAUUAUUUUUAGUAAUAUAUGAACAGAGUUUAUUUAUUUCUUUGAAUUUUAUGUUAGUCCCAAUUAGAGCUGAUUUUCACCUCUUGAUAAUCCUGACCAUUAAAUAUCCAAGUUAUAUUGCUAUAUUUACAGAAAGGUCAGGACAAGAGCGGAGCAACAUAACAUAUGUUCAGAAAUAUUUCAACUCCAUAAAGUUUACAAACAAGUAGAAUUAACUUACAUUUCUAACUAUGUUCAAAUUUAUGAUUUAACCACAUCACUAUCUGUGAAAGGGAAAUUUCUCUAGAGAAAACAUUGCCAUAUAAAAUGACUGUUUGUCAUGCUCUUAUUUUGAUAGUUUUUCUGUCUGACACUGAUGCUGCUCUCUUUCCUACUUUGUAUAAAUAAUGUUGUGCAAGUUGACACUUUAAUGGGCUCUCGAGGAGUUCAGGUCACACAGAUCGAAAUUAACUUUUUCACACUAGUUCAGAGUUUAUUUUUUUUUAAUUUUGAAUGAAGUUUACAGUCCAAAAAAUGACCAAGUUUAUGUUCAUUUUGUUUCAGGUGCACAUCAAUUAUCUGUCAGCACAGCCUCCUUAUCUGCAAACCCUAAUCCUGAGUCAAUGAUUUUUCCUAAACUAAAAGGAUUAUCAAACUCCACUGUCAAAUCACAGACAGAUAUUUAGUUGACAAAAAGAAAAAAGAAAAAUCAAUUUCAGAGCGAUUUAUGGAUAACAAAGAAAAAAAUUGUUCUUUUUUUUUUUUUUUUUUGAACUUAGAAACGACUAUCUUUUUUUUUUUUGUUAGAAUAUUCAGCCAAAGGUUUGUACUUUUAAUCCAAACACUGGAAAAAUCUGAUUUGUUUUUGAUGAUGUGGGAGAGAUGGUUUUCAUGUCCUCUAAAAUAAGAGGCUAUGGGUAGAAAAAAAAAAAAACACUGAACAAACAAACAGAAAAAGCGAAUCUUUCUUCACCUUUCUGAAACCAAACCGUUUUUUAGCCUGUUAGGAUCUGUCCUAAUUUGUUCAUAAAACCACUUUAUUUGUUUUAGAGGAGCGAUUCAUCUGCACCACUUAUGAUGAAGCGAGAAGCAGCAGGCGCCUAACAUCUGACUUCAGUACUCAGUAACUCUGAGUUUCUCUGAAUAUGUCUCAGAUCCUUCCAGAAAGUGACGGGCUGAACUACACUCAUGGUCUGCUCAAUUCACCAAAAUAUGAGCUCAUUCAAUCAACACGUUGACUUUGGCAAGUUCACCAACAACACUGUGCUCUGCACUCCUGCAAAAUUUCCUGACAUUUUCAGUUUGUCAACGCAAAAUGACACCAUGUUUACAAAAACUUUGUGCAGAUUUUUUUUCCUGCCAGCAGCCCCUGAGUAAAAAGUCAGCUCUAAGUUUGGUGAACUGAUGUAAGAACAGAGCAGGUAACUUUGAAUCAUUCACUGGAGGGGCCCACACUAAACAAAACAGGAACACUCGGUUUAUAAUAGAAGACAGUGAAGCUGAUGCACAUUUCAUUUUCUAUUCUUAUUUAUUCAUUUUUAUAAAAGAAGUCCUACAACCUGAGCCCUUGUCCUUCAUGUGGUAGGUGUCAGGAAAUCUCAUUUUUUAGUCCUUUGCCACUUCUGACCAAGCUGGCUUAUUUCACAUAAACAGGAUAAAACGAACAGCCUGUUUUAAGAGUUCAUUCGUGUUUCUGGUCAGAGAUUUUCAUCCUUCCCUCCUCAAAACCACCAGCAAAAAAAAAAAAAAAAAAAAAAAAACAGCCUAGAAGCACACAGCUCUCUGAACUCUGUAACUCUGCAAUGUGAGGCAAAAUGGGGAAAUGGUCCACCCUCCUGUCUGAGAUAGAAAUGCGAUCAUGACAAACACAAAAUUUUGUUUGUCUUCUAAACAUAUUACUUUUGAUCCCUUAUACCCGAGUUACAUAAACCCUUACUCCAAUCCAUCCUUCCUCCAGUUAGGGAGAAAUUAGACCAAAUGAGGUGUCGAGAAGUGUGAAAGAGACACACAGCCAAUGAGUUCAGUCAUGAAGAAAACAGAUAAGUAAUUUAUGGAACAACCAUAGACAGAGGGGAAAAAUAUGGUGUGAUGAUGACAAAAUAAUCACAGGAUGACAAAAUAGUACUGGGAAAGAGCAAUCACCCUAUACAGACCUUAAAGCCUCCUACAUUUAAAACAUCAUUUCUUUUAACGUGUUCAAACUGCUUUAAGUAGAAGGAGCAAUUUCCACUGCUUUGGAGCCCUGUCUGGGUUUACACGAGGAUUAAGGUUUGGCUGUCGAGUCUGAAUCCAAUGUGAAGCUUUCUAUAACAAACUGAAGUAAUUAACAGCUCACUUCUUCAGCUAACCCCUUUCAUUUAGUGUCCUACAGAGCUGCCUCCUCCCAGGAGUGAAGACCUUAACAAAUGGCUUUAAUAGGCAGGCCUUCAUAAUGUAAACCCCGUAGUCUUGUGGGACAGCUCAAGGCUUCGACCACAGAGCAAAUAUGAGUAAUUUGUAUACACGUCUGCAGGGAGCCAUAACAACCGCACUGGGAGGAAUUACUUUAUGUAAUUACUUGAGAAAAUAUCUUGGUGAGACACAUGUGAGGCUACGACAUGCCAUGAAAAAGGAAAAAUCGAGACGGGGAAAGAGGAAAAGAGAGAGAGAUAAUCGUGAUCUAUUCCUACGGUGGUUAGGGCGCUCGCUCGAGAGGCUAUGAGGCAAUCACAAAGGCUCCUCAAAUGCACCCAGCAAAUUUACUCACAUGGAAAAUUAAGCAGGGACGGUUUUCUGUGCCCCUAAAGACUUUAAGAUCUAUGGCUGCUUUUGUAAUUAUCAUGGGUCACGUCCUAAAUGGAGAUAUGUUCAUAUACCAGUGAUUUCAGCGUAAAUCUCUCUCCGUCUGUGAUGAUUCUUUCACCAGCACACUUGCAUAUGUCUGGCUUUUACUUUGCAUAGUUGGUUAACAGUGUGUGUGCACGUGCAUGCAUGUGUGUGCGUGUGUAAGCAUCUGUGUGUACAUGCACUGGGUGAUAUAUGAGUUGCAGUAGGAUUGAGAGAGCCCUGUCGACAGCUGCUGGCUGCCAUUCACACCUGAGAGGACCCAUGUCCUGAUGAGAAUUAAUGUACUCUGACAUCCUCUGGGACUCUGGCAGCCCCCAGAGGGCCUAAUGAAGAAAUACAACCUUGCCAAGAGAAAAGGGGGCAUAUCAAAAGGCUCCCUCAGGCCCCAGGAGAGGGCAUUCAGAGAGGGCAUACAGAGGGGGCAUGGAUAAGCAAAGGACGCUCUGAUCAACAAGGAAAAAAGAGGUAAUAAAAAGCCGAGAUUAUUCUUAUAGACAUUUUUUUCACUGUUUUCCUUCUUCUGAGGCUCAGAUGUUGAAUCUUUCUCCCCGUGUUAAUUAAACAUGCAGACAGUGUCAUCGCCAUAUGCUAGAAACUCCUCACCUGCUCAUUAAAAACCUAAUAAUCAAUCAUAUUAUUUUUGAGCUCCUGAGAGUGAACCAAUUUCCUGCAGGUUAGUUUUUUU
This is a non-coding RNA of Xyrichtys novacula (pearly razorfish), 8100 nucleotides long. NCBI's taxonomy places the organism in Eukaryota, Metazoa, Chordata, Actinopteri, Labriformes, Labridae. The record is from the annotation of a GenBank genome assembly.